RNA transcript from Gossypium arboreum, 1558 nucleotides. It is a transcript of the gene named cyclin-dependent kinase inhibitor 5-like, with no coding region annotated. NCBI's taxonomy places the organism in Eukaryota, Viridiplantae, Streptophyta, Magnoliopsida, Malvales, Malvaceae. The transcript is spliced from 4 exons. The record is from RefSeq and is a predicted model, not a curated record.
UAUAUUAUUUCUAGGGUUCGCAUAUUCUCCGCUAUGUUACAAAAUGUAAAAUAUCACGAGAUAUUGAAAAGGGCAGUGGAGCAGUAAAUACUCGUAGCCACCUGAAAAUCUCCCCGUCCACACUUUUUUUUUUAAUUAAAAAAACACUAUUUUUAUUUAUUUAUUUAUUUAUUUCUUCUCUCUCUCAUAUGAGAGCUUGAGCCUUGAGCCUUAAGCUUUAAGCUUCUUUCUUCGAAAACCAAAACCCAAAACCCUUGAAACAAAAUUUCAAACCCCAAAAAUCCCAAAUGGGUAAGUACAUUAGGAAGGCCAAAACGGCAGGGGAGGUUGCCGUAAUGGAGCUUUCCCAGGCUUCUCUCGGGGUUCGGACCAGGGCCAAAACCCUCGCCCUUCAACGCCUACAGAAAUCCUCCACUUCUUCUCCGCCUACGGUUGUUUCGGCUCCGGCUACAGGAGACGGCUCGUUUCUCCAGCUGCGGAGUCGACGGUUAGAGAAACCGCCGCUUGUGGUGCACCACCAUGUUUCGAAGAGGCACAAGCAGCAGCAACAGGGGAGUAAGAAGGAUAGCUGUGUGCAGAAUCCUAACCCUAAUUCGUAUUCUAGGGUUCGACCGUGUGGCGGUUCGAAUUCGGAAAAGAAAAAAGGUGAAGACAUUGUGCAAGAAGAUAAUGGAAAUGAUAAUAGUAUUAACUACGGCAAUCUUAACAAUAAUCAUAAUGAAAGCAAUGAUUUUGGUGGUGUUGAAGCUUCUUUUGGAGAAAAUAUUUUGGACAUGGAAGCUAGAGAGAGGGGCACUAGGGAAUCAACUCCUUGCAGCUUGAUAAGGGACUCGGAGAGUAUAAGAACCCCAGGUUCUGCUACUAGGCCUACCAACUCAGCAGAUACUAACCAGAGAGUACAGAAUUCAACGCAGCGACAUACACCAACAUCACAUGAAAUGGAUGAGUUCUUUUCUCUCACAGAAGAAGACCAGCAAAGACAAUUCAUUGAGAAGUACAACUUCGAUCCAGUGAAAGAUAAGCCACUUCCCGGGCGUUAUCAAUGGGAGAAAAUGGACCCCUAAACGACCAUUAACAUUCCAUCAGGACCCAUAUUUCCUGCUAGAAUCUCAGUUGAUCUUAAAAUUAGGUACUGGCCGGGAUAAGCUUUUCUUAUUGGUAAUGCAUUGGAAGGUUCUUGUAUUUCAUUAUCAUGUCCGUUCUGCACUUCUAAUUUUGUUUCUUGGGAGAAUAGUCAACUUAAACAGGCUAAAGAUGCUCAAAAAUAGAGGACAGAGAUUAUUACAUGAUACAAUGGGGUAUGUUUUAAUCUUUUUCUUAUUUGCUAUGCUCUAUUGUGAGCAUCAAUAUUUUCAGCUUUAUGGAUUGUUCAUACUCAAAACAGAAUGGACUUCAAUUAUUGUAUUUAAAAUCAGGGUUACAAAAAUGCAGGUCCUUAAAAUUAUACAACCAAACUUAGAUUAUUUGAGCCUUUUCAUAGAAGAUAAGCAUAAAUGAAACCCAAGUUUUUUCCGUCAUUGUAACACAAUCUCGACUCUUUUUAAGACGAUUUGGUGUA